RNAcentral lists this ribosomal RNA (261 nucleotides) under uncultured archaeon. Its description in RNAcentral is "partial 16S ribosomal RNA". It matches the Rfam family "Archaeal small subunit ribosomal RNA", at positions 748 to 1009 of the family's 1478-position model. The record is from RNAcentral.
UAGCCGUAAACGAUACUCGCUAGGUGUCGGCCACGGUGCGACCGUUGUCGGUGCCGUAGGGAAGCCGUGAAGCGAGCCACCUGGGAAGUACGGCCGCAAGGCUGAAACUUAAAGGAAUUGGCGGGGGAGCACAACAACGGGUGGAGCUUGCGGUUUAAUUGGACUCAACGCCGGAAACUCACCGGGGGCGACGGUUACAUGAAGGCCAGGCUGAUGACCUUGCCUGAUUUUUCCGAGAGGAGGUGCAUGGCGUAGUCGUGU